UCGGGGGAUGACGGUACCGGAAGAAUAAGCACCGGCUAACUACGUGCCAGCAGCCGCGGUAAUACGUGAGGGUGCGAGCGUUAAUCGGUAAUUACUGGGCGAUAAAGCGUGCGCAGGCGGUAUUGCUAAGACCGAUGUGAAAUCCCCGGGCUCAACCUGGGAACUGCAUUGGUGGACUGGCUGGCUAGAGUGAUGGACAGAGGGGGGUAGAAUUCCACGUGUGAGCAGUGAAAUGCGUAGAGAUGUGGAGGAAUACCGAUGGCGAAGGCAGCCCCCUGGGCCAAUACUGACGCUCAUGCACGAAAGCGUGGGGAGCAAACAGGAUUAGAUACCCUGGUAGUCCACGCCCUAAACGAUGUCAACUAGUUG
This 369-nucleotide ribosomal RNA is filed under the name uncultured marine bacterium. RNAcentral describes it as "bacterial SSU rRNA". It matches the Rfam family "Bacterial small subunit ribosomal RNA", at positions 462 to 822 of the family's 1533-position model. The record is from RNAcentral.